RNAcentral lists this ribosomal RNA (509 nucleotides) under Calligrapha polyspila. RNAcentral describes it as "partial 16S ribosomal RNA". The stretch from base 383 to 509 matches the Rfam family "Archaeal large subunit ribosomal RNA", at positions 2542 to 2669 of the family's 2987-position model. The record is from RNAcentral. Lineage: Eukaryota; Metazoa; Arthropoda; Insecta; Coleoptera; Chrysomelidae.
GUCUUUUUGUUAAAAAUUUAAAGUCGGGCCUGCCCACUGAAAAUUUAAAUGGCCGUGGUAUUUUGACCGUGCUAAGGUAGCAUAAUCAUUAGUUUUUUAAUUAAAAGCUGGAAUGAAGGGUUUGAUAAAAAAAUAACUGUCUCUAUUUAAUUUUAUUAAAAUUUUAUUUUUAAGUUCAAAAGCUUAAGUUAAAUUAAAAGACGAGAAGACCCUAUAGAGUUUAAUAAUAUAAUAUAAUUUUUAUUUUUGAAUUAAAUUAUUUAUUUUUUUAUAUUAUUUAAUUGGGGUGAUUAAAAAAUUUAAUUAACUUUUUUUAUAUUUUACCAUUGAUUUAUGAUUAUUUGAUCCAAUUUUUUUGAUUAGAAGAUAAAAUUACCUUAGGGAUAACAGCGUAAUUUUUUUAAAAAGUUCAAAUUAAAAAAAAAGAUUGCGACCUCGAUGUUGGAUUAAAAUUAAAUUUUGGUGUAGAAGCUAAAAAUUUAAGUCUGUUCGACUUUUAAAAUUUUACA